Molecule: ribosomal RNA, 540 nt
Filed under: uncultured bacterium
Lineage: Bacteria
Description: bacterial SSU rRNA
Rfam family: Bacterial small subunit ribosomal RNA
Source: RNAcentral
AAUAGAUACCCGGGUAGUCCAUGCCGUAAACGUUGGGAACUAGGUGUAGGGACCAUUCCACGGUUUCUGUGUCGCAGCUAACGCAUUAAGUUCCCCGCCUGGGGAGUACGGCCGCAAGGCUAAAACUCAAAGGAAUUGACGGGGGCCCGCACAAGCGGCGGAGCACGCGGAUUAAUUCGAUGCAACGCGAAGAACCUUACCAAGGCUUGACAUAUACGAGAACGGGCCAGAAAUGGUCAACUCUUUGGACACUCGUAAACAGGUGGUGCAUGGUUGUCGUCAGCUCGUGUCGUGAGAUGUUGGGUUAAGUCCCGCAACGAGCGCAACCCUCGUUCUAUGUUGCCAGCACGUAAUGGUGGGAACUCAUAGGAGACUGCCGGGGUCAACUCGGAGGAAGGUGGGGAUGACGUCAAAUCAUCAUGCCCCUUAUGUCUUGGGCUUCACGCAUGCUACAAUGGCCGAUACAAAGGGCUGCAAUACCGUAAGGUGGAGCGAAUCCCAAAAAGUCGGUCUCAGUUCGGAUUGAGGUCUGCAACUCGA